This 95-nucleotide non-coding RNA is filed under the name pig gut metagenome. Its description in RNAcentral is "TPP riboswitch (THI element)". The stretch from base 5 to 86 matches the Rfam family "TPP riboswitch aptamer (THI element)", at positions 10 to 89 of the family's 105-position model. Rfam says of the family: Vitamin B(1) in its active form thiamin pyrophosphate (TPP) is an essential coenzyme that is synthesised by coupling of pyrimidine and thiazole moieties in bacteria. The previously detected thiamin-regulatory element, thi box was extended, resulting in a new, highly conserved RNA secondary structure, the THI element, which is widely distributed in eubacteria and also occurs in some archaea. Analysis of operon structures identified a large number of new candidate thiamin-regulated genes, mostly transporters, in various prokaryotic organisms. The record is from RNAcentral.
AAUGCAGGGGAGCCUGUGGCACAGGCUGAGAGGAAGGUUGCACCUUCGACCCUUACACCUGAUUCGGGUAAUGCCGACGUAGGGAGUCAAGAGAU